AGCAGUUGCCCUACUGAAUUAAUGUGAUAAGGAGAAAAAAAAAGGGAUUGAUGGUUAAGAGAAUGAGUGAACACAGAACAUCUCAGGAUGGGGCAAUAUUUGGUGAGAACCAUAUUGGAUUCUACCAAAUUACAAAUAUGUUCCAGGAUGGCCUGAUCACUCACUCACUACUCCCUGCAACUCCAUGGAGAAGAUAUAAGCUGUCAAAAAUGUAUUUGUGAGUCUGAUGAGCUCUUUCACCCAGGUGACAGGGGUUUCUGCCAUACUAAUAUUCUUCUUCUUCUUCACCUUUUGUGUUUCAGUGCUGGGCCUGGAGAAGGCAGGGACCUUGGCUCUUCCAUGGUGGCUGUUCAUCAGCACUCACACAUCCACUACACCGGUUUAGUCGCAUGCUGGAAGGUUGUGCUUGGAAUUUGCCAUCAGCAAUGCCGAGGCCUGGCCUUGGUGGAAAUGCAGGUGCUGCUUAUCUUUUCUUCCAAAACAUAGUACAAACCCAGUCAUCCUGUCAUGCACCUGAGACAUUCUUUCUUAUUAGCAAGCUUGGAGCAGCAGUGGAGUGUUGAAAUAAUUUCUCUCAAACCUG
Molecule: long non-coding RNA, 583 nt
Filed under: Pongo abelii (Sumatran orangutan)
Lineage: Eukaryota; Metazoa; Chordata; Mammalia; Primates; Hominidae
Description: lincRNA
Source: RNAcentral